CUGUACUUUAAGUUAAAUUUUUGCAUUUGGCUCCUCCCUCUUUUUCAUCAUUUGACCAAUCACAGUCUGUCGCUGGGUAAAGUUCCACAAGUAGAACUGAAUGAUUAGGCUCCUCCCGAACCUGUCAAUCAUCCUUUCGAGGAAGCAGCAGGACCGUCCCAAUUCCCUCCUCUUCCCCAUCCUCUGUUAUUCUCGGUACCGGCAGAUUCUCGAGCCAAGCCUCGGGUUCGAGUCUUCGAGGACAGCAAGUCAAGUUCGUUCAGCAUUAAACUGAAUGUGAGGUGAGCUCGUGAACUAAAUCUGCUCGAGAACGCGCUUCUGCAAAUCCAGGUGAAGUUUCAUUCUUCUUUCUACGGUUUCAUUCUUCUCUCUUCAGUUAUUGUGGCAAAGGAUCCGCUUAAGUGUUGAAUGAUGGACGUCAUGAAUGUGACGUGUGCAGAGAUUCAGACUGAAGACGGGUUUGAGUUCAGAGUUUCUUCUGACAGAUUCACUCAGUUCAGUGAGUUUGACUGUGAGCAGCUCUGGUACUCAAAGGAUGAUCGUCUGAUGGCAGAUCCAUCAAAUCCUCACAGACUGAUUGAUCCUGUUAUUUCUGCCUCAUCCGAUCGUCUCAUCACUUCAUACUGCGUUGAUGAAGUUCGUCAUGAGAUCCACUGCUAUACUUCAGGAGUAAAUGAUUUCUCCCUCAACAUCACAAUUAUCUGUUUUCAAAUGGAAAUGAUAAUGCUCUCACCUGUAGAGAGGAAGGGCAUGAGAUAAACUCAUACAUCAUUGAAAC
This is a long non-coding RNA of Megalobrama amblycephala (Wuchang bream), 778 nucleotides long. RefSeq lists it as uncharacterized. The transcript is spliced from 3 exons. The record is from RefSeq and is a predicted model, not a curated record. Lineage: Eukaryota; Metazoa; Chordata; Actinopteri; Cypriniformes; Xenocyprididae.